This 252-nucleotide ribosomal RNA is filed under the name uncultured bacterium. RNAcentral describes it as "partial 16S ribosomal RNA". It matches the Rfam family "Bacterial small subunit ribosomal RNA", at positions 524 to 776 of the family's 1533-position model. The record is from RNAcentral.
UACGUAGGGGGCGAACGUUGUCCGGAAUUAUUGGGCGUAAAGCGCAUGUAGGCGGUCUUUUAAGUCAGAUGUUAAAUCCCCGGGCUCAACCCGGGUCCGCAUUUGAUACUGAAGGGCUAGAGAAAUAUAGAGGAAAGCGGAACUUCCGGUGUAGCGGUGAAAUGCGUAGAUAUCGGAAGGAACACCAGUGGCGAAGGCGGCUUUCUGGAUAUUUUCUGACGCUGAGAUGCGAAAGUUAAGGGAGCAAACGGG